Molecule: long non-coding RNA, 4911 nt
Filed under: Sus scrofa (pig)
Lineage: Eukaryota; Metazoa; Chordata; Mammalia; Artiodactyla; Suidae
Description: lncRNA (ENSSSCG00055019046.1)
Source: RNAcentral
GCAAAUAGGAAUCUGCCAAGUUUUAUUCUUUCCUGUAAUGCUCAUAAACGUUAAACUAUUGAUAGGAUAUAUAGUCUUCUUUUAUUAAUCACCAUCUAGAAAGCUUUUAAUGCAAACCAAGUAAAAUUACUUUCACUGUGAUCCCUAGUGUGCUGUGUUGAUUUCAUACUUAUUUGGCCAGUAACAAGUCAAACUGAAAGAUGUUGCUGAAAUUUCUGAAAAUUGGGAUAAUUUAGUGGCCUGAUGUUCUGAUUUUUCAUUACAUCAUUUUAUUGUCCUCAGAGGGGCACUGUAAUAACCUAACAAACCAUCGCUGAGAUUUACUGCCAAAAGCUUUAAUGAAAAGAACCAUGCUUGUGAAAGACCCAUGAUGUGUUGAAAAGUUAACCCAGAAAGUUUUAUCUCAUAGAUUUCCUCCAGUAUUUGCUUCUGGAAGUCACCUCCUUUCUUCUUUUUCUUUUCUUUCUUUGCCCUCCAUUUUAUUCUUCUCAAUCUUGGUCCAUGGUUGCUUGUAUUCACUGUGCUAAUUUUACGCAGCUCACAGCACUCCGUUUUUGGAGGUAAAGGGAUGGGAGAUAGAGCCUAGCAGUUAAUUAAUACAUGGGCAGCUUCAUUGGUUGUUGAUAGACAAAGUAGGAACAAGGGGUCCAUAUGCCCAAGACCACUUUCUCACUACCCUUUGAAUUGAUAAUGGCCACCUCUGGACAAUAUGACACCAGAGGCAUCAUUCCCACUGUAUUCUGAGCAAGCUGAUUAUAUUGUAAUUACUUCCAAAAAUCUGAGUAUUUUAUUUCUCUUAUUUUUUCUUUUUUUAAAAAUAUGCUUUGUUUUUAUUAGUCUUAAAAAAAUACUUUUGUCAAAAACAAAUUAAUAAGUGAGUGAAAAAAAAUGAAAGUAAACCUACAGUUUGGGUUCCUGGAGCCUUUUUUCCCCCCCCCGCUUUUAUUUCUUUGCACUCUGCUAUUUGCCACCACCUCAAACUCUUUUCUACUCAGCAAGCAAGGUCACGGUUGGAAGUUGGGCUGUUAAGAAUUGGCAUAUUCUAAAUUGAUGCCCACAUAGCCACUCUGGAGAAUAUGAAGCUCUGAUAUGCCAUUGUGUGUGUAUUUCUCAGGUUUUGUGAAUUUUAAAACUCUUUGCAGGGGUUCACAUUUAUUUAUGGCCAGCAGCUUGCUUUGGACAAUUUCGAAGCGGCCAUUCUUGACAAAGAGCCUAAGACUCCAUUAUCUUUUGGCUAUGAAGCAGAGCAAAACAUUUGAUUUCUCUGUUGACUCCAAGUGUAUUUAUGAAUCCUGAAUCUGCACAAUUAUUUUCCUGACAGAAAAAAAAAUCAGAAUAUGCUUCUGUAAAGAAAAUAUGAUUGAGCACUUAUAGGUGGUAUUUCAUUCAACUCAUAGCAAUUUCAAAUAAGGACUAUAAGCUCAACUAGAAGCUCAGUAGUGUAACUAUUUCAGGAAGAUUUGUUCUCUCUGAGGAAAGUACCUUGCAUUCUUGGCUCAUGAUUUCAAAAAUAGGAAGAAUUUUGCAGGCCUUUCUUGAAUUGGUACUUUACAGUCAGAUCAAAAAUUAUGUUUAAGUAGAGUCACUUACUCUGAUUUAGAGCAUGUUAUAUAACCUUUUCAUUCCUGUGAAUUGCAGUUAAGUGACCAAGGAAAAUUUGCUUUUUAAAAGCUUCUUAAGGCUAUAAAUUAUUUCCUUUUAACUCAAUACUGCACUUAAAAUUUGCUCUGAUGCUGUGUCUUUCAGCAUAGCGGAAUUGGUCAAGCCCAAGGGACAAGUAAUUUAUAUUGCUAAACCCUAAUCAAGCUCAUGAAUUUUAGAGCCUCUGCAAAGUAUGGGCCUUCGGUGCUGGUCUUACCACUUUUGUGAGCGGGAAAGCAUGUUUCAGUGUGCAGUGGUUUGUUAAUCAGCAGCUCUGUCACUGCACUUUCUGGUCCCCAGUUGGGCCACCCACCUGUACCGCCCUUAUUUCCCCACACUAUCUGAAGUGCUCUUUUAGCCCAGAUUCAGGUGGUGGAAUUAUGUUCUGUUGUGUUCUUUGUGUAGAGAGAAUGUCCAAGUGCCAAAAAUCCAGGCACAUAGGGGGAACACACAGAAAAUAAAACAAGAAAUAGUUUGUCCACUUUGUAUUUCCAAAUGGGCCUUUGUGUGAAUCUACAGAGCUAUGCUGCAGCAUUGAAGAUAUCCAUGGUAUAAAAGAAAUAUUGACAAAUUAAGUCUGUGAGAGAGUAUCUGAAUGUUUGCCUAUCUUAUAGGGAACAACAUAAAAAUGAAGAUUUGAGGGGAUGAGUGUAGACUGGACAGGAUCUGGUUCAACCCCAAACUUUCAGUCAAAAUGUACUAAAGGAUGUUUGAUGCCUCCAGCUAUGUCAGGAACUGGAUGGAGGAGAGGAAGGAGAUCAAGAAGGAAGUUUAGAGGGAUAAAAUAUGUCCCUUUCUAUGGCCAGACUCAUAGUCUAAUGUGAUAGAAGAUUAUUAGAUUGUUAAGAAGAGAAUGUAUUUGUGACUUUGUUACUUACAGAAUAUAUUCCUUGGUGCCUGACACAGUUAUCUGUCUUUGUUGACAGAGGCUGAUGGUUUAUGCAGGCAGACCAGUUGAACAUUCGGUGCUGAGAGCUGUGGGGGCUCCAUUUCCAGACCGAGGUCAUUUUCCCAGCAAGGGACCUAUGAGGGUGGGAGGAGGAACUUCACCAGAGUGAAGGGUGAAAACCUUGGGACAUGGAAUUGGAGGAAUGGACAGAGGCCAAAGACAUGGAGAGCACAAACCACCAAGAAAGAAGAACCCAUUGAAAUUUAGUAGUGAAGGAUCCAUAGUGAGCAUUGAGUUAAACAUCUCCUUGCACAUACAAAGAAACAGUCUGAGAACAAUCUAGUGAAUGACUUACUGGGCCUAGAGUCCACUUAACCUCAGUCUCAGUCUCCUGUUGACACUGCCAUUGGGAGGUAAGGAAACUGUGGGGAGAAGUGGGAAAAGUUCCUGUUCUUGUCUGUGCAGUGGGCAUGUGAUGUAGAUAAGGGGUGUGCAUAGCAUAUGGUAACUUAACUUAAGUUUAAGCCCCAAGUGGCAAGUGUAGGGUAUUAGGUUCUUCUGCAGAUGUCUCUGCACUCUAGAGAAGUGGCUCCAAAAAUGCUUUGGCUUGGAACUAACAGGCUAAUAUGAUAGUGGUUAGAUUGUAGGCUUGAUGGAAAUGCCGAACCACGCCAGCUCCAUCUUUAGGGCCAGGCCCUGCACACAGCACACUCAGCUGCAUGGGGCAGCAGAGGUCCUCGGCUUUCCUGUAGCUCCACCACUAUCCCCGCCACACUUAGCCCUCAUCACAGCUCAGGCAUUGACAUCCUUUCCCACCCCACCUGUCUGGAAGUGAAAAGCUAUAGAUAUCAAUAGCUCCACAACCCAUUUCGAAUGUUGAAAAUUCCCUGAUUGGCAUUUAUAUAUUGACUGUUGUGUUAAAAAAUACUUGGGGAACCUUCUGGCAUCUUGCCAAAAUAACUGCAUUCAUGAAGAAUUAGAAAGUCCAGGAAUGCACAAAGCUCCAAAUAGUGAUAUCUUCUAAUAUUUUCACAUUGAGUAUCAAAAGAACGUGCUCUAAAUGUUUUGAGAUCAUAUUUACCAUGCUCUUUGACUUAUUUGUAUAAACAUUUUGAAGAAAUGCAGAAUUUAAAAGUGAGCUUUUGUGUAUAUGUGUAUUUGUGCAUGUGCAUAUUUUGUAGAGAUGGCUAAUGACAAAUGGAUCCAAUAUUAAUUGCAUUUUCCCAUAAGAGGAAAAUAUUGAGAAGCUCUGUGCUCUGGAAAGAGGAUAGUAUGCAUGUAGCAUAGAGUGACGCACGACAUACUGUGUGAAAUGAUUUUAUCAAGGUUGUUGUUGUCGUUGAAGAUUCAGCUAACAGAUUUUUCAAAGUUCAUCUAAUCAUUUUCAAGGAACAAAGUGAAUUUAUGGAAAUUUAAAUUAGAUUUCAGGUCAGUGCUUAUUAAUGCCAUCAAAAUAAUUUACAGCCAGUGUGUUACAUGGAUGGACCAGAGGAGAAAAAAAAAUAGAAUGCACAAGGAAAAGAAAAGCACCUGUUAGUACAAGUAUUAUCACUGUAUUUCAUUAAAAUUGUCAAAGAUCAAGGGUUGGAUAAUUAUUUCAUCCUUCCUACUUUAACAUUUUCGAAAAUGAAACGUGUGUAGAUCAACCACACACCAUCAUGCAAACACUGCAAUGCACAUGUUAGACUGUGAAAUACCUUGUCUUUAUUGGAAAUUGGAAGAUGAAUUGGGGCACAUCUCCCAAGAAUUCUCCUUUGUAGGAUAUGCUGGAAAAGGGCCCAGGUGUCCCUGUCCAUUUGAUUUUACAGACAACCUCUUGAAAACUCUUAUUUCCAAGAUAUGGAAACAUCUAUGUACUUUUCUUAAACAAUUUAUAUUUAAGACAUUCCUUGGCUUUGAUCCAUGAUGUUUCUCUUAUUUAUUUUUUCUUGCAGUAAUUGCUUUAGCAAAUGUAGGUAUACAGCCCAUCCUAAUUCUAAGCCACUAAUUCUGCCCUGACAUCUUCACUCAGCAAAAAAAAAAAAAAGGGAUACAUUUGUGCUCUGAAAUGUAGCUAUUGUGCCCAAUAAUUGGUACUUGUUUAUUUAAGGAAAAAGGGCAUUUCUUUAUGGAAAUUGGGUAGUAUGCUUUCCUAGCAUCCAUCCCCCACCCUUCUACCUCUGAGGACUACCUCUUUACAUCAUUGAUUCCAAUUCUCCAUUGAAAUGUGUUACAUCCAGUGGGACUGGGGUGGGGAGUAUCAUGGCCUUGCUCAGUGGCCCAGUAAAUUACAGAACUUUCAAGGGAUUAUAAAUUCGCUUCUGGAUACAAGUCUUUGACAAACAGAGAUAAUUGCUGUUACCCAUGAGCUUUCCCUGACUUUGCAGAAAAGAAAAAAAAAA